AAAGAGACGCAUCUCCAUCGCUUCGCUCUUGCUUGUUUAUUUGCCUUGCCCUCUGAUUAUGAUGACUGUGGCGGUUCUGAUGAAUCGAUAGAGAUGAAGAUGGUGAGGUUGUGGUAGCAGGUAAGUGAUUAUGAUUAUCUGACCUUGGUGGUGUUUUCCAUACUAUACAGAAAACCCUAGCUGUCGCCUCCGGCGAUGGCGGCUAGGGUUACUCCGAUGAAGCUCCGAAAUUUUAGAGUGAGACGGAUAGGUUUCAAUUGGUGAUCUCCGGUUGGAUAUUCUUCAAGACAGAGCAUUUGUCUCUACUGCAUGACGCUUAAUGGCGAGACAUAUGAGAGCCCUAAGUACUACACGACGCUCCAGCAGGCGGAGCAUUUAGCGGCUGAGGUGGCUCUGGAU
Molecule: long non-coding RNA, 399 nt
Filed under: Helianthus annuus (common sunflower)
Lineage: Eukaryota; Viridiplantae; Streptophyta; Magnoliopsida; Asterales; Asteraceae
Description: hypothetical non coding rna
Source: RNAcentral